CAGAAUUGUCCUAAGUCAGACCUCUUCAAAUUGGACCAAGCUAUAGAAAGAAUUCUAAUAUCCACAAUGUCAAUAUAUUUGAAUCUAAUGAAGCAAAUUUGGUAUCGUAGAUGUUAAUAUAUUUUUAUAUAAACUUGGUCAAACUUAAUGAAGUUUGACUUAGGACAAACCCAU
RNAcentral lists this microRNA precursor (174 nucleotides) under Triticum aestivum (bread wheat). RNAcentral's name for it is "MIR1435 microRNA precursor family". It matches the Rfam family "MIR1435 microRNA precursor family". Lineage: Eukaryota; Viridiplantae; Streptophyta; Magnoliopsida; Poales; Poaceae. The record is from Rfam by way of RNAcentral.